This 72-nucleotide transfer RNA is filed under the name Cavia porcellus (domestic guinea pig). It matches the Rfam family "tRNA". Rfam says of the family: Transfer RNA (tRNA) molecules are approximately 80 nucleotides in length. Their secondary structure includes four short double-helical elements and three loops (D, anti-codon, and T loops). Lineage: Eukaryota; Metazoa; Chordata; Mammalia; Rodentia; Caviidae. The record is from Rfam by way of RNAcentral.
GGAGAUGUUGCUCAGUGGUAUAGCACUUGCCUAGCAUGCAUGAGGUCUUAGGUUCAAUCCCCAGCACUGCUA